This 466-nucleotide ribosomal RNA is filed under the name Tomopterna delalandii. RNAcentral describes it as "partial 12S ribosomal RNA". It matches the Rfam family "Bacterial small subunit ribosomal RNA", at positions 858 to 1533 of the family's 1533-position model. Lineage: Eukaryota; Metazoa; Chordata; Amphibia; Anura; Pyxicephalidae. The record is from RNAcentral.
CUAUCAGCGCCCGGGUAUUACGAGCUUAAGCUUAAAACCCAAAGGACUUGACGGUGUCCCACCCACCUAGAGGAGCCUGUUCUAUAAUCGAUACUCCCCGCUUCACCUCACCAUUUUUAGCCUCUCAGCCUGUAUACCUCCGUCGCAAGCUUACCAUGUGAACGCUCUUAGUAAGCCCAAAGGUUCUCCACCAACACGUCAGGUCAAGGUGCAGCUCAUGAAAUGGGAAGCAAUGGGCUACAAUUUCUAAUGCAGAACAAACGAAAGACUACAUGAAACACAGUCAUGAAGGCGGAUUUAGUAGUAAAAAGAAAAUAGUGUGUUCUUUUUAACUAGGCACUGGGACGCGUACACACCGCCCGUCACCCUCUUCGAUAGCCUAACAACUAGUUUUUAACUUUACUAAGCGUUUUAGAAGAGGUAAGUCGUAACAUGGUAAGUGUACUGGAAAGUGCACUUGGAAUAA